UUUUUUUUUUUUUGCCUUUUUUUUCCCCUCUCUGGAGAGUGGAGACAAUGAGAAAAGUAUGAGAGAGGGAACAAAAAAACCAGCCCACCUCCCUGUUUUCAUGGGCAGAGUUACCAGAUUUGCGGCCUUUUUCAUUUCUGAAUUUUGACUGUAUUCACCGAAAUGCCCUCUGUUUCAAGUUUUAAAUUUAGCCAUCCUUAUCCAGUGCAGAUUUUAUGCCUGGAACAAUAAUCGCCGGAAGCCACAUGUCCAGAUCCCAAGAGCUGGUGGGGGGUGGUGGUGAUGGUGGUGGUGGUGG
RNAcentral lists this unclassified non-coding RNA (298 nucleotides) under Hevea brasiliensis (rubber tree). The record is from RNAcentral. Lineage: Eukaryota; Viridiplantae; Streptophyta; Magnoliopsida; Malpighiales; Euphorbiaceae.